AAACUAACAGAUUUACUUCGGUAAUGACGUUAGGAAAGCGAGCGGCGGAUGGGUGAGUAACACGUGGGGAACCUGCCCCAUAGUCUGGGAUACCACUUGGAAACAGGUGCUAAUACCGGAUAAGAAAGCAGAUCGCAUGAUCAGCUUUUAAAAGGCGGCGUAAGCUGUCGCUAUGGGAUGGCCCCGCGGUGCAUUAGCUAGUUGGUAAGGUAAAGGCUUGCCAAGGCGAUGAUGCAUAGCCGAGUUGAGAGACUGAUCGGCCACAUUGGGACUGAGACACGGCCCAAACUCCUACGGGAGGCAGCAGUAGGGAAUCUUCCACAAUGGACGCAAGUCUGAUGGAGCAACGCCGCGUGAGUGAAGAAGGUUUUCGGAUCGUAAAGCUCUGUUGUUGGUGAA
RNAcentral lists this ribosomal RNA (399 nucleotides) under uncultured Lactobacillus sp. RNAcentral describes it as "bacterial SSU rRNA". It matches the Rfam family "Bacterial small subunit ribosomal RNA", at positions 64 to 446 of the family's 1533-position model. The record is from RNAcentral. Lineage: Bacteria; Bacillati; Bacillota; Bacilli; Lactobacillales; Lactobacillaceae.